This 1353-nucleotide ribosomal RNA is filed under the name Salmonella enterica subsp. enterica serovar Agona. RNAcentral describes it as "partial 23S ribosomal RNA". It matches the Rfam family "Bacterial large subunit ribosomal RNA", at positions 1569 to 2898 of the family's 2925-position model. The record is from RNAcentral. Lineage: Bacteria; Pseudomonadati; Pseudomonadota; Gammaproteobacteria; Enterobacterales; Enterobacteriaceae.
ACGAGGCACUACGGUGCUGAAGCAACAAAUGCCCUGCUUCCAGGAAAAGCCUCUAAGCAUCAGGUAACAUCAAAUCGUACCCCAAACCGACACAGGUGGUCAGGUAGAGAAUACCAAGGCGCUUGAGAGAACUCGGGUGAAGGAACUAGGCAAAAUGGUGCCGUAACUUCGGGAGAAGGCACGCUGACACGUAGGUGAAGUGAUUUACUCAUGGAGCUGAAGUCAGUCGAAGAUACCAGCUGGCUGCAACUGUUUAUUAAAAACACAGCACUGUGCAAACACGAAAGUGGACGUAUACGGUGUGACGCCUGCCCGGUGCCGGAAGGUUAAUUGAUGGGGUCAGCGCAAGCGAAGCUCCUGAUCGAAGCCCCGGUAAACGGCGGCCGUAACUAUAACGGUCCUAAGGUAGCGAAAUUCCUUGUCGGGUAAGUUCCGACCUGCACGAAUGGCGUAAUGAUGGCCAGGCUGUCUCCACCCGAGACUCAGUGAAAUUGAACUCGCUGUGAAGAUGCAGUGUACCCGCGGCAAGACGGAAAGACCCCGUGAACCUUUACUAUAGCUUGACACUGAACAUUGAGCCUUGAUGUGUAGGAUAGGUGGGAGGCUUUGAAGUGUGGACGCCAGUCUGCAUGGAGCCGACCUUGAAAUACCACCCUUUAAUGUUUGAUGUUCUAACGUGGACCCGUAAUCCGGGUUGCGGACAGUGUCUGGUGGGUAGUUUGACUGGGGCGGUCUCCUCCUAAAGAGUAACGGAGGAGCACGAAGGUUGGCUAAUCCUGGUCGGACAUCAGGAGGUUAGUGCAAUGGCAUAAGCCAGCUUGACUGCGAGCGUGACGGCGCGAGCAGGUGCGAAAGCAGGUCAUAGUGAUCCGGUGGUUCUGAAUGGAAGGGCCAUCGCUCAACGGAUAAAAGGUACUCCGGGGAUAACAGGCUGAUACCGCCCAAGAGUUCAUAUCGACGGCGGUGUUUGGCACCUCGAUGUCGGCUCAUCACAUCCUGGGGCUGAAGUAGGUCCCAAGGGUAUGGCUGUUCGCCAUUUAAAGUGGUACGCGAGCUGGGUUUAGAACGUCGUGAGACAGUUCGGUCCCUAUCUGCCGUGGGCGCUGGAGAACUGAGGGGGGCUGCUCCUAGUACGAGAGGACCGGAGUGGACGCAUCACUGGUGUUCGGGUUGUCAUGCCAAUGGCACUGCCCGGUAGCUAAAUGCGGAAGAGAUAAGUGCUGAAAGCAUCUAAGCACGAAACUUGCCCCGAGAUGAGUUCUCCCUGAGACUUAGAGUCUCCUGAAGGAACGUUGAAGACGACGACGUUGAUAGGCCGGGUGUGUAAGCGCAGCGAUGCGUUGAGCUAACCGG